UUUUCUAUGACGGUGAUCCAUCCCCUUCCCUGCCUGCGAUAGUGCUCCAUCCUCUUCCCUGCUAUCCGAGAUGGCGCUCCCUCCCAUGUGGAUCUCAGGACCACUCCUUCCCCUCACCGGCACCGGAUCUGCUGCAGGGUCGGCUCCCUCCCCUCGCCGACACUGAGGAAGACGGCGGCAAGGUCGGUUCCUUUCCCUCGCCAACGCUCCGCCCGUAGUCGGCGCUAUCGUCACUCUUUCUUUCCCACUGCGUUGAGAUAACUCAGUUGUCAGAACAGAGAAUGACAAGUGGGUCCCAAUUGCCAUUGUCUGUUAAAAUAGAUUUUGGGGGCUUAGGUUUGGGGGCUUCUGCUGCUGGGGAAGAUUGCAAAAUAGAGGGCCAUCCUCCACUGCUUGUGCGCUCCUGUCCGUCAGUGAUGGAUGGCGAGCCUCGGAGGCUGUAGCGCGACUGACAAAGACCGGAGACGCCGACGACUCACUCUUGCGCCGGCGACUUCGAAAGCGUUGCGUGCUUCCCUUACCUCUGCGGACGGGAUCACGGGAGAGAUUGUAGGCGAGCACCGGCGAGCGGAAGGGCGUGCGGCUCUCUCGCGCACGGUGGCGCUUGCGGUCGAGUCGACCAUUCGACCGAAGCCGGUUCAUGGCUCCGCGGACUUCAUUCCGUUCCGGUUUUGGUCGCAGCCCGGCGACGAUUUCACUGAUGAAGCUGCUGGCGAGGACACUGAAGAUCGGGAGGACACUGAAGACGAAGAGGACUCACCUUCAACAACUGAGUUCAUCCAGGCGGCGAAAACGGUGGGUUUCUCAGUCGAUCAACUCGCCAGAGCCGAAAGGGCCCUGAACGCAGGUAUGGCUCAGUCUCCCGAGGGAGUAACCUUGGCGAGAUCAAUCGUUCAAACUUUAGUGAAGAAGAAAACUUCAGGAAGGCCAUAGCAAGGCCCUCUUCCAUCCCCACGAGUUUCUCCACCGAGGACUCUAGGUGACGCCUUGGCCAUGGCAUCUUACCAGAGGAAGAAACCGAGCUCCAGCCGGGCACAGUCCCUCACGGCUACACCGGAGAGGUUUAGCUCAUCGGAGAAGGAUUGUCUUUCAAAAUUUGAACAUGUGGUCUCGCAGUGCCCUGAUCCGAAAUCCUCGGGCGUCCAUGCGUCAAUUCCGGUCGUUCAGAUCACGAACACCACGCGUGGAACGCCGAGUCGGGCGGGGAAGGGUUUACGUGCGUUUCCAACUCGUGUUGUCCUUGGGCCAGGGAAAGUUUUCAGGCCCACGCCGGGCCUGUGUUCUCUGUUCUCUAGAACGGGCACAAGGGUUUCUCGGUCCAGGUCGUUUUCUAAGACGAAGGCCAUCAGGACUUACGCCGAGGUCGUGCGAAUAGGCACAUCAAUGGCGGCGCAGGAGGGAGGCUUUGGAGGCCGUGGCGGUGGCCGAUCGACUGGGGGGUUCAACACUAGUUUUCACCCAGGAACCGGAGGUCAGGGGGGCGGCCGCGGGCGCUUCCCCUUCCGAGGCACUGGGCGUGGCAAUGGUGGACAUGGUGGUCCCAGAUUUGGCGGCUUCGGCGGCUUCCAGGGGUUUGGCCGCGGCGGAGGAAGAUACUACGAUGGGCGAGGCAGAAGCUUCGCUGGUCGUCAUCAGCUGCAUCGGCCAGGCCCUAACGCUGUUGUGUCCAACGUCUACAACGCUGGUCUUCCUCAGCAAGAAGGCUAGGUGGGGAGGCAAUCUGCAGGUGGCCAUGGUCACCACCAGGCGCCCCAUGCACACGUGCAUGGUGUUGGGCAAGGUGCUGUUUUCACUAUGCAGACGGUUGAUUCUACUACUUCCACUAUACCUCCGUCCAAGUCAGCACCGGGAAAUUCGGAAGUAAGUGAGCCGGCUACUGCUCUCCCAAUCCCCAGCACGAUUGCCUCUCAAAUUGAUGUUCCAGAGUCAUCCCAAAAAGGAGGCGUCCCAAAAACAAAGGGUAAACCUUAUUGCUAUCGUUGUCAUACUAAAGGGCACACGAUGUCUGUUUGCACUACUGUACUUAGCUGUGAGGUAUGCUUUGGUGAUCAUGUUAAAAAAGUUUGCCCAAAUUUGAAGAACUUGCAAUCAACUGCUUUACCAUGUGGUUAUGCGGUAGAAGGUCUGGGUUUCUACUUUAUACCUUUUGCUGAAAAUCCAAAAAUAACUUCAGAUGAUAAAUCUGCAGUGGUACGUGUUUUGGAGGGUUCUGUUACUGCGGACCAACUCGCAGUGGAACUCGACAAACUUCUGCCUGGAAAUAGUUGGGUAAUUGAGGAGAAAGGUAAUGAUGCCUUUACCACAAUUUUCCCUUCUUCUGAAGUGCUCAGUCACAUGGUGAAUUGGGGUCCAAUGGACACCAAGACGGUGAAAGGAAAGAUUCGAUUUGAGAAAGGAGCUGAAAACGAUGUGUAUAAAUAUGAGAUUGAUAAGGUCUGGGUGCAGUUCCGGGGCCUUCCUAGGUUACGAGAAUUUCCUAUUAUCUGGGCGAUUGGCUCAAUUCUUGGAGUGUCCCGGGCAGUUGAUACAAAGUUUACUAAAAAAACAUGGCCGAGCUAGGAUGAAAGUAGCUGUGUUAAACCCUGAUCUUAUUCCAGACUUUGUGGAUGUGGUUAUUGGGGAUUAUGUCUAUGAGCUACAGUUCCGAGUUGAGAAUAAUAUGCCAGAUGGUGAGCCCCAAGUCAUUGACAUGGACUCUAUCAUAGAUGGGGAUGAAGCCCCAAAAGAGAAAGAGCCUGAAAAUAUGGACCUCGAUGGUACCAAGAUAGAUGAAUCACCAGCUAACCAAGCACCAGAAAAUAAAACCAAUACCUCAGGAGUGCCGGGUGGACAGCACAAGAAGGUUGACACCGGUAUACUUGCUGAAAUGGAUAUGACUACUAGUGUUGCAGGAGUUGAUCAUCAAAAGAAAAUUUUGGUGGCCUCAGGUUCUAAUCCUGUGAGAGAGGAAAACUCAGUUAAGCCUGUGGUGUUGCUUACUCAGACUGGGAUGACUCAAAAUGGAACUACGCAUUGGAAGGGUAAAGCGUUGAGUGCUGGGACAGUGCCACCAGUGAGAGCUAGUAAGAGAAACGUGCCCACUUCGGACCAAGAUUCAUUGGAGAAGGCAACAAAAUUAAAGGCACGCAAGAAUAUGGAUUCUGCUUCACUCAAAGGUAAUGGAAUUCAGCCACAGUCUUUUAAUUUUGCAGAUGAUUCAUAUUUACUAGCUUCUACUGGUGCACUAGGAAUUUCAUUAGGGGUUAACGAACAAGAAAUUUCUGCUUCCCUGCUCUCGUUAAAAGACUUAGAAUCGCGUCGGCUAGCUGAGAACAUUGCUUUGGAAACUCAUAACAGAGCUUUAGAUGAUGCGUCAACAGUUUGCUCAGGGGAUGAAAAUUUAGAUUUAGAGUCUUUAAAUUUAAUUUGUGCCGACAUCGCUGAUGACCUAGGUGAUGGGGGUUGUGACCCUUCGUGUCUACAAACCCCUGUAUCACAAAUAAAGAAAUCUAGGUCCAAAAGGAACAAGAGUAAAAAAAAUCAUUCUAGAUGAAAGGAAUUUUUUGGAAUUGCAACGGUUUUGCGGACACUAAAAAAUAUAGAUUUCUUUCUGAUAUAACAAAGGAGAAGAACUUAGACUUCAUAGCUUUAUCGGAGACCGGAAGAGCCAGUUUUUCGCAGUCGACUCUAAAGAAUAUCUGUGCGGGUAGGGAUUUUCUUUGGCACUGCAUGGCUCCAAGGGGUCGGUCUGGUGGCAUGAUUCUAGGAAUAAACCUCCAAACAUUUGACAUUGGCCAAAUAGAAGAAGGAGAUUUUUUUUAUUCGAUUUAAACUACGACAUAAGGGGGAUGACUUCAAGUUUAAUUUAAUCUCAGUUUACGGUCCAGCCCAAGUGGAUCGCAAGUCCCAAUUCUUAUCUGAACUGGUCAGAGUAUGUUCAAAAGAAAACAUACCUAUAAUCAUAGGUGGGGAUUUUAACAUUAUUCGUCGACCGGAUGAGAAAAAUAAUGAUAAUUACAAUGAUAGAUGGCCUUUUCUCUUUAAUGCCAUAAUUGACACUUUGAAUCUCAGGGAGUUAGAACUGACCGGGAGAAAAUUUACUUGGGCUAACCACCAUCAAAAUCAGACCUUCGAGAAACUUGAUAGGAUUCUCGUGUGUACGGAUUUUGAGUCCAAGUAUCCGGUCAUGACUGUUCAGGUAUUAAGCAGAGAGAUUUCAGAUCAUACUCCCCUAUUUUAUAACACAAAUAACCCAUCUUCGACUUAUCAGCCUCAAUUCAAAUUUGAACUGGGGUGGUUGCUCAGGGAUGGUUUCUGUAAUAUGGUAAGAGAUAUUUGGCAAAGUGUUAUUACUGAGGGCACCCCUCUAGAGAGGUGGCAAGCGAAGAUCAGGAGACUUCGCCAAUACCUAAGAGGUUGGGCAAAGAAUUUAAGUGGCGCUUAUAAGAAAGAAAAAAGGUUUUAUUAAAUAAACUGGAUGAAUUAGAUAAAAAAGCAGAAAGUGUCUUGCUUGAUGAGGUAGAGUUAAAUCUUAAACAUGUGUUAAAUGAAAGGCUUGCUGAAUUACUACGCGAAGAGGAACUUAAAUGGUACCAUUGUACCAAAGAGCUAAGGUUAAACAUCUUUUGGAGGGUGAUGCGAACACAAAAUACUACCAUUUGUUGGCUAAUGGGAAACAUCGAAAAACCAGAAUUUUCCAGUUAGAGGACGAGGGGAAUAUAAUAGAGGGUGAUGCUCAGUUAAAACAACAUAUUACCAAUUAUUAUAAGAAUUUAUUUGGUCCCCCGGAGAACUCUAAUAUCCAGCUAAACGAGCACCAUGUUCAAGACAUUCCUCAAGUUUCUGAACUAGAAAAUGAUUAUCUCACAGAUACCUUUUCAGAAUCUGAAAUAAGGGCAGCAGUUUUUCAGAUGGAACAUAAUAAGGCACCAGGUCCGGAUGGUUUUCCAGCAGAGUUUUAUCAGGUCUUUUGGGAUUUAUUAAGGGAAGAUCUGAUGGCUUUGUUUUGGGAAUUUCAUGACGGUAAUUUACCCUUGAAUAGCCUCAACUUUGGAACAAUAAUUUUAUUACCGAAAGAUAAAGAGGCAAAAAUGAUUCAACAAUACAGACCAAUAUGUUUGUUGAACGUCUCGUUCAAAAUCUUUACUAAAGUUGCGACUAAUAGACUCUCUACUGUUGCCCAGAAGAUUAUUAGACCUACACAAACCGCCUUCCUCCCAGGAAGAAACAUUAUGGAGAGUGCAGUAAUCCUCCAUGAGACCAUUCAUGAACUUCACUCAAAAAAAACAGAACGGCUUAAUCCUUAAAAUAGAUUUUGAAAAGGCUUACAAUAAGGUGAAAUGGAGUUUUCUGCAACAAACCUUAAGAAUGAAAGGUUUCUCUAAUAAAUGGUGUUCUUGGGUACAACAAUUCACUCAAGGAGGAAAUGUAAAUAUUAAGGUGAAUGACCAACUAGGCUCUUACUUCCAAACAAAAAAAGGCUUAAGGCAAGGUGACCCAAUGUCUCCAAUACUAUUUAAUAUAGUGGUGGAUAUGUUGGCCAUACUGAUUGCUAGAGCAAAGGAAGCUGGCCAAAUAGAAGGCAUUAUUCCCCAUCUAGUUCAAGACGGUCUAUCUAUCCUUCAGUACGCGGAUGACACGGUGAUCAUUAUGGGGCAUGAUGAGGAGAAAGCGAUUAAUAUGAAAUUAAUCCUAACUACUUUUGAACAACUCUCAGGCCUCAAAAUUAAUUUCCAUAAAAGUGAAAUUUUCUGCUAUGGAAAAGCGAAGGAUCAUGAAGAGUUUUAUUCGCAAUUAUUUGGGUGUAAGGUGGGAAAGUGCCCCUUUCGUUACCUUGGCCUGCCCAUGCAUUCUAGGAGAUUGUCCAACAAAGAUUGGCAAACAAUUGAAGAUAGGAUACAAAAGAAGCUUAGCGGUUGGAAAGGAAAGAUGCUUUCAAUUGGGGGUCGCUUGGUCUUAAUAAACUCGGUGCUCACCAGCUUACCGAUGUUUAUGAUGUCAUUCUUUGAGCUUCCAAAAGGAGUCAGGGAGAAGCUUGACUGCUUUAGGUCACGUUUUUUCUGGCAAAGCGACCACCACAAACGUAAAUACAGACUAGCUAAAUGGAAAAUUUUAUGUCAACCAAAAAUCCAAGGGGGGCUGGGCAUACAUAAUUUGGAUGUACAAAACAAGUGCCUGUUGAGCAAAUGGCUCUUCAAACUCCUAAAUGAGGAUGGUUUGUGGCAAGAACUGCUAAGGAAUAAGUAUUUAAAAAACAAAACAUUAGGAAGUUGUACCAAAAAGUCAACAGACUCUCACUUCUGGAAAGGACUGAUGAAUGUUAAGGAUACCUUCAUGAGCUUUGGUUCAUUCAAAGUGAAAGACGGUUCACAAACCCGGUUUUGGAUGGAUACAUGGUUGGGGAACCAACCAUUGAAGGAUAAGUUCCCCUUGUUGUUCAACAUUGUGAGGAGAAAGCAAGACUCGGUGGCAAGAGUACUUGCAUCAGCUCCGCUAAAUAUUUCCUUUCGCCGUAAUCUUGUGGGCGCGAAUUUAAGGGAUUGGCAUAGGAUUGUAGCAUCGUUACUUGAUGUGAACUUACAAGGGGAGAGAGAUACUUUUGUUUGGGCACUACAUUCAUCAGGCAUUUUUUCUGUUAAAUCAAUGUAUGCGGCGUUAAUAAAUAAUGGGGUCAGGGUGUCACAAGAUAUUUGGCAGAUCAAAAUACCUACAAGAAUAAAAGUAUUUUUGUGGUAUUUAAAAAGAGGUGUUAUUUUAACCAAAGAUAAUCUUGCCAGACGUAAUUGGACUGGCGACACAAGAUGUGUGUUUUGUAAUUCUCCUGAAACUAUUCACCACCUCUUUUUCGAAUGUUCUUAUGCUAAAUUCUUAUGGCGUGCGGUACACCUGUUUUAUGGAAUUGCACCCCCCCUUAGUACAAAUGAUCUUUUUGUUAAUUGGUCUAAGAGGGGUAGUAAUACUUAUAAUUCCUUAUUAUUAACGGCAGCAACAACCCUAGUUUGGACAAUUUGGAUAACAAGAAAUGAAGUGGUUUUUGACAAAUGCAGACCAAAAACUUUUUUGCAGGUAUUAUUCAGGGGAACCCAUUGGCUUCAGCAGUGGGCAAGACUGCAGCGGCGUGAGAUACUAAAGGACCAGCUUCUGUUUGCUGGAUAGUUUUUGGAAACUUCAGCUCUGCAUCUCUUUAGAUCCAAUGGAUGGCUGUCAACUAGGUUUAUUGGUCUUUCAUAGUCAAACGCUUUCUUUCUUUUUUUGUUUUCUUUAAAUUGAGUUAUCUCAAAUGUGUCGGUCGUCCGACUGAACUUUGUAAUAAUUGGUCUGAUUCUACCUUAUGGUAGAUGAAGCCGGAUAUAAACUAUCCUUUAUCUAAAAAAACAAAAGUAGGGAGAACACCUAAAUCAGAUAUUGGGGGUUUGAUUUAGGUACUUCUACUGGAGUUGCUCUCUCCUCUUAAA
This 7433-nucleotide long non-coding RNA is filed under the name Sorghum bicolor (sorghum). Its description in RNAcentral is "long non-coding RNA (SBIC_LNC011304)". The record is from RNAcentral. Lineage: Eukaryota; Viridiplantae; Streptophyta; Magnoliopsida; Poales; Poaceae.